CCAAUAUAUAAAUCUGAUUUUUUCAGAUGGAGUGGUGGUGGGCGUGUUUCAAUUAAAAGGGGAACCUCACUUCUUUUAAUCAAUUAUUCUCCACUGCAUCAAAACCCUAACCCUAACUAACAGUACACAAAAUCGGCAAUGGCUAAGAAGCGAAAGCACGAUUCCAAGGCAAGCGUAGAAUCGACUGAACCUCCAAAGAAGCAACAACAUCAAGAAGAGGAAACUGAAAAACAAGAACAGAAACAAGAAAUUGUAGAAGAAGAAACAGAAGAAUACGAACAAGUCGAAGAAGAAGUCGAAGAAGAACAAGAAGAGGAAGAGGAAGAGGAAGAGGAAGAAGAAGAUGAUCAAAAUCAAAAUCAGAUCGACGGUGGAGGUCAAGGUGAUGUUAAUAAUGAUUAUGAUGAUGAUGACCCGAUAGAGAACCUUCUAGAACCAUUUGGAAAAGAACAACUUGUGAAUCUUCUUAAAGAAGCUUCCGAUAAGCACCGUGACGUGGCGGAUCGGAUUAGAAAAAUAGCAGAUGCAGAUCCAGCUCACAGGAAGAUAUUUGUGCACGGACUUGGGUGGGACAGCACCGCUGAAACCCUUACUAAUGCCUUCAAGCAGUACGGUGAAAUUGAAGAUUGUAAGGCUGUUUGUGAUAAGGUUUCAGGGAAAUCCAAAGGUUAUGGCUUUAUACUUUUUAAGAAGCGGAGUGGGGCCCGCAAGGCAUUAGAGGAGCCUCAGAAGAAAAUUGGGAAUCGAAUGACUGCUUGUCAAUUGGCUUCGAUGGGUCCUGUUCCUACAUCUACCGCUCCAGCGAAUACCCCCGCUCCUGGUCAACAGCAGGUGUCUGAAUAUACACAGAGGAAGAUUUACAUUAGUAAUGUUGGGGCGGAUUUGGACCCGCAGCAGCUUACUAGUUUCUUUUCUAAGUUUGGAGAAAUUGAAGAAGGUCCACUUGGGUUAGAUAAAUUGACUGGUAAACCCAAAGGGUUCUGUUUGUUUGUGUAUAAGAGUGUUGAGAGCGCUAAAAAAGCUCUUGAAGAGCCACAUAAAAAUUUUGAAGGGCAUAUUUUGCAUUGUCAGAAAGCUGUUGAUGGACCAAAACAUGGUAAGUCUCAGCAGCAGCAACAGCAUCAUAAUGUGCAGAAGUCGCAUUUUCAAAGGAAUGGUAAUGCUGGUGGUUACAGUGGUAGAAAUGUUCCAGGUCCAGCUCAUUUAAUGGCGCCUGCUGCCCCACCGGGGAUUGGGUACCAAGGAGCCGCAGGAGCACCUGCUUUGAAUCCUGCACUUGGACAGGCAUUAACAGCACUGCUUGCUUCGCAAGGUGCUGGAUUGGGGCUUAAUUUGCUAGGAAGUUUGGGUUCUGCUGCUGCGGUUAACCAGGGUGGUGUACCUGGUGCUGCAGCUGGAAUGCAGGGUGCUUAUGGUAAUCAACCAAGUAUAAGCCCGGGAGUGAUUGGUUAUGGAAAUCAGGGAGUGAUGCAGGGUGGUUACUCAAGUCAGCAGAUAGGCCAGACUAGUUCUGGAAGAGGGCAGCAUGGUGGUGUUGGGCAAUAUGGUGGUGUGGGGCCUUAUAUGGGUCACUAGAUAUUGUCUCUCUUUGAUCCCUAUAGGUGCAUGCAUCAGUCUUUUAUAUAUUGGCCUGCCGAUUCUUCUGAAGUUUAUGGAGCUUAUGCAAAUGAAGUCUUUCAAAAUAUGAACAAAUGCUGCUUUUGGUUACUAGAAAGAGACUCUUAAAAUUUAAUUUGUGACACAGAACAAGGUGAUUGCAUUGGAGUUAAAGGUGAGAUUGAGUUAAAAGGCGAUUGCACUCUCAAUACUUGUUAUUUUACAUUCCUAGAAAGUUGAUAUGGGAGCAGGUGGGACCAAGAGAAUGCUGGAGUAGGCGAUUAAAUUAUUCAAAGGAACAGAAGCUCUGGCUGACGGUUUUGCCUUUGGGGUAUCUGGUUUUGUGAGAAGGCCUGUGGAGAUUGACAGAAAAAAUGAUCUCUUAGAAUUUAUUGUAUAAAUAGUUGGUGAGGCAUUAGAUGAUCUUUUUUUCCCUCACUAACAGUUGAUGGGAUCGGUGCAAGUUGUUCCAACUUCUUUUUUAGUUCUCAACUAAAUAUUCCCUCUCCCAGAGAAUUGGAAACCCUUGGACUGUUCAUGCUGAUUGGAUACUCGGCGAGAAUUUUCAGAAAGGAGCUGUUGAGCAGGUACAGUUGCUAUUGCUUGCUUAUAUAUUGGUUUGCUUUUAUCUGUAGUCAAUAUGUGAGAGAAUUUCUCAUAUAUUGAGGAUGGUUGGAGAUUCUAAUUGUUGAGAUGUAAGGUAUUUCUGCUUGUUACUUUGAAUUUUGGUAAGGUAGAAUUUUGACAAAUCCCAAUGAGAUUAGCAUCCUGAAGCAAAUUAUUUUUAACCAAUUCUUCCUUCUCGGGAAAAAUAUCUUCACACCAUCAGUGUCUUAAAGUCCAGGAUGAAAUAUGUAGGGUACGGUUAAAAGUUAUGAUUGUUGGGUUUUACAUGUUUCUGCUAGUUUGACAGAAUUCUGGCAAUUUUCAACUGAAAUAUUUACUGCAUUUUUAUCUGAAUAGCUUAGGGAAAAGCAAAUAACUAAUAUGUGAUUGAGAAGCUGGAUAGUUGGUCAUUAAUGCCGAAAUGGAUAUACCUGACAAAUCAAUGCAGCUUGAGAGGGAAGAUUGCUCCAUCAAUUUUUUGAUGACAAGUCCUGAAUUUUGUUGUAAAGCUUAUGUAUGAUCUCAUUAUGAUGUUAAUAGUGGAUUAGAAUUAGGUUGCAAUUGUAGAUUAUACAGCAGAUUUCAGUGGGUUCACUUGGCGGGUUGUUUUGGUGAGGGAUGGAACUUUGUAGAAAUUGCGAGCAGCGUUGCUGGUGUAGCUGCUUCACUUUCGGUGGUAGAAUGAUGUCAAUUCACAGGGGCUGUUACUUUUGUUUUAUAAGGAGUAUAUAUUAUGUGUUUAUUUAUUUAUGUUGAAAAACUGGCUGAAUCAGAAAUGUAUGUGUUUUUAUACAUGGGACCUAACUUUAAUUGGUCAUUUGAACA
RNA transcript from Ricinus communis (castor bean), 3027 nucleotides. It is a transcript of the gene named UBP1-associated protein 2A, with no coding region annotated. NCBI's taxonomy places the organism in Eukaryota, Viridiplantae, Streptophyta, Magnoliopsida, Malpighiales, Euphorbiaceae. The record is from RefSeq and is a predicted model, not a curated record. The transcript has 3 exons.